This 425-nucleotide long non-coding RNA is filed under the name Vitis vinifera (wine grape). RNAcentral's name for it is "long non-coding RNA (VVIN_LNC006348)". The record is from RNAcentral. Lineage: Eukaryota; Viridiplantae; Streptophyta; Magnoliopsida; Vitales; Vitaceae.
AAAACUACCUCUACAUCUAGAGGUGAUUAGCUUAAAACCAAAAAAAAAAAGAAAGACAAGAUGGAGGGACUAUCCAUUUUCUUCAAAACUAAUACUGAAGCUCAUUGAGGGCUUGGUAUUUGUGUUGAAUUUACAGUUUUUGCAAGCCAUGUUAAAAGCUUUUAGCCUUUUCCAAAGGCUAAAAUGUCCAAAAGGGGUUGUUUUUCUUAGCCUUUCCAGGGCUAGAAAUGUUGACACAACUUCAGCUAAUUCAAUAGCUUGAGUUGAUGAUGAUGAUAUGUUUAUAUAUAGAUGUACAUGCACAUGAUUCUCUUGAAAGGAACCCUUCUCUUUCAAGGAGAUGCAAAGAAGGAAGAAAGAUGCAUGACUCUCCACAUUUGGAGGUGAUGACUUUAGCCCCUAUGGGGGGCUUUGUGUAUGCGAAA